This 5185-nucleotide unclassified non-coding RNA is filed under the name Leishmania donovani. RNAcentral describes it as "gene:LdHU3.35.6890(CDS-product:Zinc_finger_C-x8-C -x5-C-x3-H_type_(and_similar)_putative)". The record is from RNAcentral. Lineage: Eukaryota; Euglenozoa; Kinetoplastea; Trypanosomatida; Trypanosomatidae.
AAAUUGUGUCACGCAACAGGAAAGAUACGCAAAAAAAGAAUAAUUCAUCUGUUUCUCAUUUCCCGCCACACUCUUUUCUUUCUUUGUUUUUCUUCGCUUCCCGCUCCCUUCACUACGCCCAAAUCCCCGAGCCGCACGCUCCGUCGCAGCACUGAGCGAACACGCACGCAGACAUUUGAACAUUUACUAGACGAGGAAGAAGAAAAGGAGAGGUACAAGUACGUCCCACGCUCUUUUCUUUUUUUUUUUGCUGUUGUUUUGGUUUCUUUCCGUUUUUGUUGUUUAUGUGUUUCUCUUUUUUUUUGCUUUCUUGUUCCUUCAAAUUGUCUCGUGCCUUGACUUCCUCUUGUCUCUCCCCCUCUCCCAACUCCCCGCUUCUCCGUUUCCAGACGUCUGCUCUGUCGCCUAGCUUCCGCGUUCUAAUUUAUGCUUGGUUUAAUUUCGUUUUGAACCGGGCUGUGCUUGUUUGCCUCCACCUUUCUGUCUGAAGCUCCCCCCCCCCCACCCACCCAGCCACCCCCCCACACACACACAUACACGCAUACUAGUCGUCUUCUCAUCUCUUCGCUUUCUCGUCUCGCUCUACCUCUGUCAACACCCUUUUUUCUUGCGCACUUCUCCUGUGUGAAGUGCCCUGCGCUCUUUCCUUCGCUUUAUUCUCAUCCGUUGGCCCAUUCUCCCCGCAAGCUUUCCACCAGCCGCUGAUCGAAAGAAAGGCAGCAGCACGGUAGAAACUACAUCAAAACACGACCUUGAGCGACGCCAUCGGCUUUCACUUGCUCAUCAUCCGAUUCUUGAACGAUCGGCCAUGUCGCAACAGCAGUGGACACCCGAUCAGCGUCGCCAGCAGAUCGCGGAGAUGCUGCGCAACAAGGGUGUCAUUUGCAGGGACUUUCUUUUUACCGGCCGCUGUUCCCGUUCGCCGACGUGUCCGUACAUGCACGUGGCGAACGGGGAGACGCGGCCGGUGCCGUGGAGCGUGUGCACGUUCUUCACACAAGGCAAGUGCCUUCGUGAUGGCUGCAGUUUCUUUCACGGGACUCAGGCUCAGCUAGAGGAACUGCACGCGUCCGGGGCGCCCGUGUACCGCCCGCAGGACUACAUGAAGGUCGCGGUGCCUCCCGCCGAGUACCUUAAUCCGGAUGGCAGCAUUGCCACUCACCUCUCCAUAGCCGCGCUACCCAUGACGCCUGCGCUACAUGUUGUGCACGGACCCACCGUGCCGCACGAAAACGCCGUCAACUCCCUUCACCCCGUUUUGGUCAUGCAGCCGAACUCGCAAGCUAUCGCACCAACCAUGUUCGCCUCUCAGGGCCAUACAGCGCAACCCACGCCGUCGCACUUCGCUUUCUACGCUAAUGCUCCCAUCGCAUCGCAGAUGCCCACCCACUCCGCCGCCACUGUGCUUCAGCCGGCUCUGCACGCUGUGCAACCGACGGCAUUCUACCAAGCCACAAACGCGCCGCUUACGCAGCCACAACAGCACUUCGCACCUGUUCCGCAGCUCAACACGCCUCAGCAGCACCAGCCCACUCAACAGGCACUUGGCAGUCAUGUUUAUUUCCAUAUCCAGCCCCACUAGGUGCGACUCUAAAGUGGGCGCCCCGGGCACACUUCACUUUUACGAUGUGCUAAGCAAAUAACGGGCAAUGCGAAGGCGUGACACUGGACGCUUCCGUGCAGCUUGUGUGGACGUACCGCAAUUCGGCAGCUGUUCGCAAGCAGGCUCUUCUGUGCUCUCCUCCUCUGCUCGCGUUCUGUGCGCUACGCCCUCUGCUUCUCUUGCUUCCCUCGCUCCCGGACCCUUCCCUGAUGACUGGGGGCACCAAAGCGACCCAUGAGGGCUCCAUAACCAUUUCGGUGGGAGGAAGCCAGGGAGCCCCUCCCUACCCCUGUCAAUGCACAGCCACCUCUGGUGGUGUGACAGGGCCGAGCGUCUGCGACGUGGGGAGGUCAGCGCGAUGCGCCCCUACUGACGUCGGCGAUGCGGUCCUGGGUGGCGUUGCGUCGGAGAGACCUGCGACAAUGCACAGGUUUGUACCACCUAUAUGAUAGGCAAUUCAUCAGCGUAACUCGAGCGUGUAUCCUGCCCGGCCCUCACACUGCCCACUGGUGGUGGGGCGAAUCUGAGCCGCCCCGAGGCUGAUGCGCCAGGCGACUACCGGCGUAAUAAGGCCGGAUGUGGGUAGAGUUUGAGGCAGAGCCAGUGCGCCGACGCAGUCGUCGGCGCACUGCUUUAAUCUGUGUCUACCGCUGCUUUGCGCCACGGGCCUGGGUCUGUGACAUGCCGGGGCCGAGUGGAACUUAACUUCUGUUCUAGGGUCGAGUGUACACGUUGAGCAAAAACAAAGAAACAUCUUUCAAUCUCUUUUUUUCCGUGUGUGUCUGUGCUUAAUUCGUUGUUCUCUUACUUCCGUAAGCUUCUGGUUUAAAUACAAGUCUUACUUUUCUUUUUCCUUUCUCCCUCGGUCUCGUUGUUUUGUCUCUUCCGCGUGCGCGUUUUGCGUUUUUUUCUGUGUGCUUCCUCCCCGCGCUUCUUUUUUUUUGUCUUGAUUUGGCGCGCCACAUGCGUUUGUUUUGUGUGUGCGCCUGCCGUCAAAUGUGUAUGUGCCCACGUUACAUGCUCUCCUGUUCUCUCCACCACCACCACUGCCGCCUCCCUCCCUCCCUCCCUCCGCGACUGCCUCCUUUUAAGUUUUUGCUCUGUUUUGUUUCUUUUCUUGUUUUCUUCACUAUGUUUUUCCUCCGCCUUCCCCCCCCCUGUCACUCUUCUUUCGCUUCCACAGGCCCGCCCAACCCAACCCAUCGUGCUCUCGCUCAUUGUCCGUCUUUUUGACGGGUUUAAGCGCGGUUUACAGGACUGUGGAAAGAAAAAGGAAAACAGGAAUGAGAGGGUCGAAUCAGCGCCGCUUGCUUUCCUCUUUUUGUUGUUGUUAUCGGCUCUCCCCCACCGUGCUUUAAAUCAGGAAAGGCAGAAAUCGAAGACGUCGCUGCCUAUAGAGCUUUUUUAGCAAGCGAUAAAAAGACAAAGAAAAAAAGCGUGACCACGAGUUGAGUAAAGCCGGACAGCCAGCACGCAACGCGGUUGAUGCGCAGCCGCUACCAUGGCUGCGACUUGUUUGCUUCCGUUUGUUGUUGUGAACGUGCCUCACACCGAUCGCUACGCGAGUAUAUAGCGUUGCGCAGUCCGGUUUUUUUUUUUGCCGGGGUCACCACAGAAGAAGCGCAUGUGGGCGACUCCUUUUUUCUCCCUCUUUUCUGAGCACCUCCUAAUGGCCGUCUCCGACGUUGCAAAACCUUUCCGCUGCUCUUUUCUCAGCACGUUCAGCGAUGGUACUGCGCCUGCGAAUAUUUGGAGAGCAGUGUGUCAUGAUCUGUGCAAACAUCCUUGAGCGUGUCCUUGCUGAACAGACUUUUGGUUGAGCUUGCGCGCGAUAAUGGCCGAGGUGAGAGACACAGCGAAGGAGGGCUGCGCCGUCUCGGAGACGGCAACGCCUAAGGUAGUUGGGCUGCAGAUUUACGCCCCAGUGAUAACGACAGAAGUUCUUUGCGUUUGUAAUGAUACGAGUGUCUCUUUUAUUGUUGUCGUUUCUGCCCCUCUGGGCUGUUUUUUUUUUCUUGGAGCAUCUCAUACUCGCCUUAGACGUGUGUCUACACAGAGGCACACACUGCAAACUACGGCGAGUGGAAGUCGCGGGUGCGAGUGCAUUACGUCUCUGAAUUCAGUUCAUCCUUCGCUCGUGGUUUGAUAGGGACCCGCAGGAGCCCAUCGAUGAAUCUGAGCGUGUUGUUGCCUUCCCUUUCCUCCCGCUGAAGCACAUGAACAUGCUAACUUGAGGAAGGAAUCGCUGACGCUUUCAGGUUCCAUCUCUCACAUUUUUCUUCCCGUUUUCUCUCUCUUUGUCGUGUUCCGCGUUUCGCUUCCUCAACAAACCGGUACUUUCAGCUGAUGAGGCUCUGCUGCUCAGCCUGGAGGUUGUUUUGUUUCGUUCUCCCUCUCCUCUUUUUUUCUCUCACAAAUGACCUCUCCCUUUCUUGCUCUCUUCCAUUUUGCCUUUUGCUUGAUGUGCCGGUUUGUUCUCCGUCUGAGAGUCAACCACUCGGUUUUCUUCUGUGUGUCGCGGAGUUGCUUUCUUUGUCUCUCACAACCUGUGUUGCGCUAGGGCUCGUCAGCUACCAUGACGUCGUUUUCGCAAAGGUCCAGGGAAGAACAGAAGAAAGAUGUCCUCAGCUACAUUCUUACGCACGCACGUGGGCCUGUAUGCUCACCGCCACGCACAAACGAAUGCACAACCGCACAUACCACCUCAUCCUCGCGGCGUCACAUCCACACGCAGAGUGGACGCAUUAAUUUGUACUUCCAAUGCGUGCAACUGUGCGUGUACGUAUGUGUUUGCGGUCCCCUCUUUCGCUUUCAUCACGCGGCUGUGAUUGUGAUUGUGUGUGCUGCUGCUGCUGCUGCUGUGGGGCUUUUUUAAAUAUCCUUUCCGCCCUUUGUUUUACCUGUUUUUCUUUGCUUGUUUGUUUGUUCCUUUCGCUUCUCAGUAUGAGCGUUCUUCCAAGCCGUUCUCUGUCUUUUCUGUGCUCCGUGUUUUUCUCCGUUGUAUGUUCUUUAUUUUUUCCCUUCGUUGGUGGCGUGCUGCUGUUCUCCUUUCGUCUUCCCUCUCCCCUUUCCUUUUCCCUCUCUUUUUUCUUUUCUCGUUUCGUAUGCGUAUCACAGUAGACCGCUGGGAAGCUUCACCGUGCAGCCUCUCUCUCUAUGCUCGCGUUACCGUGCCUGCCUCACCGGCACUCGUCUUGGUAUCAACUUGCGGUUCGGCAAAGAGGGACCCUCACCUCUCUCUGUUCUCCUCGCCCCAUGUCCCGUUGAGAUACGCGCCAUGGUGGGUUUUUUCAUCAAACAGUGUAUGGCGCGUGUGUCCCCUUCUUACAACAGCAACGCAAUCGAAGGGCGUCGUUUUUUACGCUGGGUGUGUUGCCUUUGCGUUCAUUUCGCCCCCCCCCUCCUUGCUCUCCUUCUCUCACUGUGUUUGGUGUCCCUGUGAACGCGUAGGUGUGACGCUAUUCUCUUGGCGCACAUGGAAUGAGCACACAUUAGCAAAAAGAGGCCCUUUUUUGUGUGUGUGCGCGCGUGAGUGUGUGUAUGUAUAUGUGCGUGUGCCCGUCUGUAGGCACUUUACUGAGC